GCACCAGGCGCGAAAACUUUACAAUGCUGGCAACAGCGAUAAGGGGACCUCGAGUGCCAGGAUACAAUCUUGGCUGUCGCGAUGCCUAAAAAGCAUUGCAUAGCAAGGGCCGGGCAAGACCGGUGCCAGCCGCCGCGGUAACACCGGCGGCUCGAGUGGUAACCGCUAUUAUUGGGUCUAAAGGGUCUGUAGCCGGCCGGAUAAGUCCUUUGGGAAAUCCAGCUGCUCAACAGUUGGGCUUUCAGAAGAUACUGUUCGGCUCGAGACCGGGAGAGGUGAGAGGUACUUCAGGGGUAGGGGUGAAAUCUUGUAAUCCUUGAAGGACCACCAGUGGCGAAGGCGUCUCACCAGAACGGAUCUGACGGCAAGGGACGAAAGCUAGGGGCACGAACCGGAUUAGAUACCCGGGUAGUCCUAGCCGUAAACGAUACUCGCUAGGUGUCAGCCACGGUGCGACCGUGGUUGGUGCCGUAGGGAAGCCGUGAAGCGAGCCACCUGGGAAGUACGGCCGCAAGGCUGAAACUUAAAGGAAUUGGCGGGGGAGCACAAGGGCGAAUUCGCG
Molecule: ribosomal RNA, 562 nt
Filed under: uncultured archaeon
Lineage: Archaea
Description: bacterial SSU rRNA
Rfam family: Archaeal small subunit ribosomal RNA
Source: RNAcentral